Molecule: ribosomal RNA, 519 nt
Filed under: uncultured eukaryote
Lineage: Eukaryota
Description: SSU rRNA
Rfam family: Eukaryotic small subunit ribosomal RNA
Source: RNAcentral
AGGGCACCACCAGGAGUGGAGCCUGCGGCUUAAUUUGACUCAACACGGGAAAACUCACCCGGCCCGGACACCGUAAGGAUUGACAGACUGAGAGCUCUUUCUUAAUUCAGUGGGUGGUGGUGCAUGGCCGUCCUUAGUUGGUGGAGCGAUUUGUCUGGUUAAUUCCGAUAACGAACGAGACUCUGGCCUAUUAAAUAGACGAGGUAUUUACAUGUAUCUCGCGCUUCUUAGGGGGGCAAGCGGCGUCUAGUCGCAUGAAAAAGAGCAAUAACAGGUCUGUGAUGCCCUUAGAUGUCCGGGGCUGCACGCGCGCUACACUGAAAGAAUCAGCGUGCAUUCAAACCUAGUCCGGAAGGACCGGGUAACCCGAGUAAAUUCUUUCGUGCUUGGGAUAGGGAAUUGCAAUUAUUUCCCUUAAACGAGGAAUUCCCAGUAAAUGCGGGUCAUAAGCUCGCGUUGAUUACGUCCCUGCCCUUUGUACACACCGCCCGUCGCUACUACCGAUUGGAUGACUUAGUG